ACAUGCAGUCGAGCGGACAGAUGGGAGCUUGCUCCCUGAUGUUAGCGGCGGACGGGUGAGUAACACGUGGGUAACCUGCCUGUAAGACUGGGAUAACUCCGGGAAACCGGGGCUAAUACCGGAUGCUUGUUUGAACCGCAUGGUUCAAACAUAAAAGGUGGCUUCGGCUACCACUUACAGAUGGACCCGCGGCGCAUUAGCUAGUUGGUGAGGUAAUGGCUCACCAAGGCAACGAUGCGUAGCCGACCUGAGAGGGUGAUCGGCCACACUGGGACUGAGACACGGCCCAGACUCCUACGGGAGGCAGCAGUAGGGAAUCUUCCGCAAUGGACGAAAGUCUGACGGAGCAACGCCGCGUGAGUGAUGAAGGUUUUCGGAUCGUAAAGCUCUGUUGUUAGGGAAGAACAAGUACCGUUCGAAUAGGGCGGUACCUUGACGGUACCUAACCAGAAAGCCACGGCUAACUACGUGCCAGCAGCCGCGGUAAUACGUAGGUGGCAAGCGUUGUCCGGAAUUAUUGGGCGUAAAGGGCUCGCAGGCGGUUUCUUAAGUCUGAUGUGAAAGCCCCCGGCUCAACCGGGGAGGGUCAUUGGAAACUGGGGAACUUGAGU
Molecule: ribosomal RNA, 611 nt
Filed under: Bacillus spizizenii
Lineage: Bacteria; Bacillati; Bacillota; Bacilli; Caryophanales; Bacillaceae
Description: bacterial SSU rRNA
Rfam family: Bacterial small subunit ribosomal RNA
Source: RNAcentral